This 253-nucleotide ribosomal RNA is filed under the name uncultured bacterium. RNAcentral describes it as "partial 16S ribosomal RNA". It matches the Rfam family "Bacterial small subunit ribosomal RNA", at positions 524 to 776 of the family's 1533-position model. The record is from RNAcentral.
UACGGAGGGUGCGAGCGUUAAUCGGAAUUACUGGGCGUAAAGCGCACGUAGGUGGAAAACCAAGUCAGAUGUGAAAGCCCUAGGCUCAACCUAGGAAUUGCAUUUGAAACUGAUUUUCUAGAGUAUAGUAGAGGGAAGUGGAAUUUUCGGUGUAGCGGUGAAAUGCAUAGAUAUCGAAAGGAACAUCAGUGGCGAAGGCGACUUCCUGGACUAAUACUGACACUGAGGAGCGAAAGCGUGGGGAGCAAACAGG